CGCCGCGUGUGUGAUGAAGGCUUUCGGGUCGUAAAGCACUGUUGUAUGGGAAGAAAUGCUAAAAUAGGGAAUGAUUUUAGUUUGACGGUACCAUACCAGAAAGGGACGGCUAAAUACGUGCCAGCAGCCGCGAUAAUACGG
RNAcentral lists this ribosomal RNA (141 nucleotides) under uncultured bacterium. RNAcentral's name for it is "partial 16S ribosomal RNA". It matches the Rfam family "Bacterial small subunit ribosomal RNA", at positions 395 to 528 of the family's 1533-position model. The record is from RNAcentral.